AAGUUUUGGUAAGCCUUAUUUUGGUAGUCGUACAGUCACCUCUGAAAAUAUAGAUACGGACAAAGUGACAAAAAUAUAUAUGCAUGUAUUAGGUAGUUGUAUACAUAUUUGGCACUUUGUCCGUAUCGAUAUUUUUAGAUGUGAAUGUACUAGACAAAACUGUGACGUGGUUUUAUGCCUGUAAUGAUCUUAAUUUUUAAGACAGACAUUAGAAUGUCCCAUUUCAUUUUACAUCAAAACAAAUCAACCAUUAUAUUGACAUUUUAUUUACUUCACUUGAUCAUGUAUAUAAUAUUUUUCAACCUGGAAGGGUACCUGAUAGAUGUCAAUUCAAUACAAUUUCGCGACAUUUGGUAUUUUUAGGUUGUCAUCUGUCAUCGUACCCUUGAAAAAUAUUAUAAAACAAAAUUUUGCAUGGUGGGCGUUACUAGAUAUAAUGACUAGUUGACAACCCUAACCUCAUUACAACAAGGUUUACAAUAAUAGUCACAUAUGUCAUCACAUGUACAUAGCAAGUAGUUGCGGUAGUUAGUUAAUCAUAGUUUUUAAAUUAAUUACAUUUUUAUUCGUACAAUUUGUCGGUAUUUUUCAAUCUUAGUCAUAGCCUUAAUUUUGCAUCGGAAUGUAAACCUUGUUCACUAGAGUAUAUGAUACAAAUUAAGACAAUAUCGAUCGGAUAUGAAUAAAUUUGAAAUUUGCCGACAUUUUCAAUUUAUACAGCAAUAAUUCGAUAUCACCAUUUUUAAUUCCUAAUUAUUAAGCGUUGUUUUCAUAAAAUUGUACAAAAUAAAUCAAAAUUAUUACAAA
This is a long non-coding RNA of Cydia splendana, 807 nucleotides long. RefSeq lists it as uncharacterized. The transcript has 2 exons. Lineage: Eukaryota; Metazoa; Arthropoda; Insecta; Lepidoptera; Tortricidae. The record is from RefSeq and is a predicted model, not a curated record.